This 72-nucleotide transfer RNA is filed under the name Camelus dromedarius (Arabian camel). It matches the Rfam family "tRNA". Rfam says of the family: Transfer RNA (tRNA) molecules are approximately 80 nucleotides in length. Their secondary structure includes four short double-helical elements and three loops (D, anti-codon, and T loops). Further hydrogen bonds mediate the characteristic L-shaped molecular structure. tRNAs have two regions of fundamental functional importance: the anti-codon, which is responsible for specific mRNA codon recognition, and the 3' end, to which the tRNAs corresponding amino acid is attached (by aminoacyl-tRNA synthetases). tRNAs cope with the degeneracy of the genetic code in two manners: having more than one tRNA (with a specific anti-codon) for a particular amino acid; and 'wobble' base-pairing, i.e. permitting non-standard base-pairing at the 3rd anti-codon position. RNAcentral also lists the same sequence under 1 other name. The record is from Rfam by way of RNAcentral. Lineage: Eukaryota; Metazoa; Chordata; Mammalia; Artiodactyla; Camelidae.
GAGGGUAUAGCUCAGUGGUAGAGUGGGUGCCUAGCAAGCACAAGGUCCUGGGCUCAAACCUCAGUACCUGUA